RNAcentral lists this long non-coding RNA (400 nucleotides) under Daucus carota (carrot). Its description in RNAcentral is "long non-coding RNA (DCAR_LNC006748)". The record is from RNAcentral. Lineage: Eukaryota; Viridiplantae; Streptophyta; Magnoliopsida; Apiales; Apiaceae.
AACAUUAGUCCUGAAGUAUCUUAUCAGGGUUCACAAGUUCAGGAUAUGUAAUUGAAAACUUCACAAUUCUUAUCAGCAAUUGAAAUCAGAAUUCAAACUUACAGAAGAAUUGUCGAAUUGGAUUCAUCACAUUUUUACUUAAAAACCAAAGGUUAGGCUGCUGAUCAGUCACGCACUAACCCCGAACAUGGCACACAACCCUGUUCUCUAUACUGGAUCCAAGGCACACAUUGGCCUAUAAUUGACCACGAAUCUGGUCUGACCACGAAUCUGGUCCACAUAUUUUAUAAAAACUAAUCCAAUUCUAACAAUUUAGAUCAAUAAACAAUUCAAUCAAUAGAACAGAAUUAUAAUCAUUAUCAACAACAUAAAUAUUUUAAAUCAACUUUUGAGAAUCAAC